GGGUAAUCAAGGCCCUAAACGGAAAGUGUCAGGAUCUUGGGAUUAGGGGACUUGUCCAAAGUUACUCAACUAUGAAGAGUCAAGAUUCAAAUCCAGAGACAUCUGACUUCAUUUCCCUUCAUUAACAACCAUCUAAGGAAGUUCCUAUUACUUUGGGAACUCCUAGUAGCAGGUGGUUAAAAAAAACUCCUGGACAACAUACUAUGCUAUUUGAAUCAUCCUACUUCUUACGCGUUCCUCCAGGAUGCACUCUUCUCCCAUUCUGAAACUGACAGUUCUCUUUACAAACUGUGUAUGUUUCAUUCCUGGAUUGCAUCUGAGCUGCCGCCAUGGAACGGGCAUUGAGUUUUAGCGUGUGUGAUGUCCCAUGUGUUCAUUUUGUCUCCCCACACUAUAAACUUGAGAGGCAAGGCCAACUCUUUUAUGUCUUCAAAUGCUUUGCUGCCAAACACAG
This 454-nucleotide long non-coding RNA is filed under the name Homo sapiens (human). Its description in RNAcentral is "non-protein coding lnc-IAH1-2:1". Lineage: Eukaryota; Metazoa; Chordata; Mammalia; Primates; Hominidae. The record is from RNAcentral.